Molecule: ribosomal RNA, 512 nt
Filed under: uncultured bacterium
Lineage: Bacteria
Description: bacterial SSU rRNA
Rfam family: Bacterial small subunit ribosomal RNA
Source: RNAcentral
AAUGGACGAAAGUCUGAGGCAGCAACUCCGCGUGAGGGACGAAGGCUCUCGGGUCGUAAACCUCUUUUCUCAGGGAAGAUCCAAGACGGUACCUGAGGAAUAAGCCACGGCUAACUACGUGCCAGCAGCCGCGGUAAUACGUAGGUGGCAAGCGUUGUCCGGAUUUACUGGGCGUAAAGAGCGCGCAGGCGGCUGGUCAAGUCCGAUGUGAAAUCUCCCGGCUCAACUGGGAAACUGCAUCGGAAACUGAUCGGCUUGAAGGUGGGAGAGGGUAGUGGAAUUCCCGGUGUAGUGGUGAAAUGCGUAGAUAUCGGGAGGAACACCAGUGGCGAAGGCGACUACCUGGCCCACUCUUGACGCUGAGGCGCGAAAGCUAGGGGAGCGAACGGGAUUAGAUACCCCGGUAGUCCUAGCCGUAAACGAUGAACACUAGGCGUAGUCGGUAUCGACCCCGGCUGUGCCGUAGCCAACGCAUUAAGUGUUCCGCCUGGGGAGUACGGCCGCAAGGACUA